RNAcentral lists this long non-coding RNA (562 nucleotides) under Cicer arietinum (chickpea). RNAcentral's name for it is "long non-coding RNA (CARI_LNC001623)". The record is from RNAcentral. Lineage: Eukaryota; Viridiplantae; Streptophyta; Magnoliopsida; Fabales; Fabaceae.
UGAGAGCCAAAUGAGUUAUUUUGAAACAAAAGAAAAGGAAUUGUGUAUUUUUGUAGAGUUGAGAGAGUUGGUUACCAGAAUCAGGCAGGAAAGAAAGUAAUAGGGUGAGGCAAUAGCAUCGACGGCACGGCAGUAGGAAGGUAGAUACACUCUACUCCAUUUUAAUUAUAGGAAGAAAUUUGUGUACUUAUCUUCUAUUGCUGGAUAAACGAUGCCUAUACUCAACCAUAGCAUAGGUGCAUUUAUCAAAACUUUAUGUUAAAUAAUCGGUUCAUAAAUUAAUGGUAAUUAACUAUUUUUUAACAUGCAUAAUUUGACCCAAUAAUUCAUUUUGGAAAUAGUACACCGUAACAUGUUUUUGUUACGUAAUUACAAUUCGAUUAGCUACUUGUAUAAUUCCUCUUAAUCGCCGUUUUCUUUUCUUGACAGGAUGUGUUUGUGCGUGAAAACGAGGCGCCGUGGACACUAAACAAUUAAUAUUUCCCUUCUACAAUUUAUUUGGAUAUUUACUUGAAAGUUUCUCGUGCAAAUUUCUAAGUAGUGGGUAGAAUUUCUAAGUUAG